UAUUCCUCCAACUUGCCUCUUAAACAUCAGAACAUAUCCAGCCCCCUCUCUUCUCCAGUACACAUUCCAAUUCACACACAACCUAGGGUGAGUAAUUUAAAAGUAGCAACAAAGAGUCACCAUCUUCCUGCUUUGUAUUCUUACCAACUGAUGUGAGACACCACAUAUUUCCAUGUGCUUGGGUAUUGUUGCACCUGUUGUUCUUCAGUUGCGCUUAUCCAGAAAAUACUUUAAAGAAAAUGUUUGUUGUUUGGAGAUGCAACUCAUGCACUUGGACCAUGAACUAAAACAAGCAUCAAAUAUUUCUAGUGUAUCAUAUUGGAUGAGAAUAUUAAUUUGGUUAGAUUUGAGCCGUCCGGAGGUCUUUUUACUCGAGAAGUGCAUUUUAAAGUAUCGGUUUGUCGACUUUGAGGUAAGUAUCUUGCCUAACCUUGUGUGGAGGACUUCCCCUUAGUAUUUGAGUCUUCCAUGCUAAUUGUAGUCCGUGCAUGCGAGGUGACAAGUGUGUGCUCGAACUUAUUUGUGGAAAAUUUGCUCUAGGGUUCUUAGGUCCUUAUGUUCAUUAUGUAAAAGUAUUCCGUUAUGAUUGAGUUUCCUAAUUGCUUAAAUUACCUCUAUAUGCUCCAUAUGAUGUUGCUAGCUUUCCUCUAAUUCCUACGUGUUACAUUGACCCUUAUUUGCCUUACUUGAAGUAAUUGCCUUCCUUAUUGUUUUGAUACUUCUUGAUUGUGAGUUCCUCUAUGGCUUCGUGCAAAUAGGUUACAUGUCCA
Molecule: non-coding RNA, 770 nt
Organism: Nicotiana tabacum (common tobacco)
Lineage: Eukaryota; Viridiplantae; Streptophyta; Magnoliopsida; Solanales; Solanaceae
Source: RefSeq, a predicted model, not a curated record